Small nuclear RNA from Neomonachus schauinslandi (Hawaiian monk seal), 104 nucleotides. The record is from RefSeq and is a predicted model, not a curated record. NCBI's taxonomy places the organism in Eukaryota, Metazoa, Chordata, Mammalia, Carnivora, Phocidae.
GUGCUCACUUCAGCAGCACAUAUACUAAAAUUGAAACGAUACAGAGAUUAGCAUGGCCCCUGUGCAAAGAUGACAUGCAAAUUCGUGAAGUGUUCCAUAUUAAA